RNAcentral lists this unclassified non-coding RNA (377 nucleotides) under Hevea brasiliensis (rubber tree). The record is from RNAcentral. Lineage: Eukaryota; Viridiplantae; Streptophyta; Magnoliopsida; Malpighiales; Euphorbiaceae.
ACAAAAUAAUGAAAACCCAAAGUUGAACUGACUCAACUUGGACCUCGUAUGUCUGAAUUAACAAUGUCAAAUAUGGAAGCAGCCCGAUUAUUAAUUCCUUUUUGGAAAAGAAGAACGAGUUUUUUGCCAAGUUGACAAGACUCACAAUUUAAAGAGGAUAAGUGGGAAAGAGAAGGAACCAGUUUCUAGGAUUUGGAGAUAUCUGGGUGACAAACAAUUAUGAAGAAGAUCAAGAGUAGCAUCAGAAGUAAAGGUAAUUGGAGACUUUGAGCUGAAGAGAUGAUAUAAUCCUUGUGACUCACGACCUACGCCAAUCACUUUUCCCAUACCCCGAUCUAUAGCCAAACAUAGUCCCUCGUUCACAAACCAUCACAUUU